RNAcentral lists this ribosomal RNA (424 nucleotides) under uncultured bacterium. RNAcentral's name for it is "partial 16S ribosomal RNA". It matches the Rfam family "Bacterial small subunit ribosomal RNA", at positions 354 to 796 of the family's 1533-position model. The record is from RNAcentral.
GUGGGGAAUCUUGCGCAAUGGGCGAAAGCCUGACGCAGCCAUGCCGCGUGAAUGAUGAAGGUCUUAGGAUUGUAAAAUUCUUUCACCGGGGACGAUAAUGACGGUACCCGGAGAAGAAGCCCCGGCUAACUUCGUGCCAGCAGCCGCGGUAAUACGAAGGGGGCUAGCGUUGCUCGGAAUUACUGGGCGUAAAGGGCGCGUAGGCGGACAGUUUAGUCAGAGGUGAAAGCCCAGGGCUCAACCUUGGAAUUGCCUUUGAUACUGGCUGUCUUGAGUACGGGAGAGGUGAGUGGAACUCCGAGUGUAGAGGUGAAAUUCGUAGAUAUUCGGAAGAACACCAGUGGCGAAGGCGACUCACUGGCCCGUUACUGACGCUGAGGCGCGAAAGCGUGGGGAGCAAACAGGAUUAGAAACCCUUGUGUCC